UCGGCCUACGGGACGCAGCAGUGGGGAAUAUUGCGCAAUGGGCGAAAGCCUGACGCAGCGACGCCGCGUGAGGGAUGAAGGUCUUCGGAUCGUAAACCUCUGUCAGCAGGGAAGAACGGUCACUGUGCUAAUCAGCAGUGAAUUGACGGUACCUGCAAAGGAAGCACCGGCUAACUCCGUGCCAGCAGCCGCGGUAAUACGUAGGUGGCGAGCGUUGUCCGGAAUUACUGGGUGUA
This 236-nucleotide ribosomal RNA is filed under the name uncultured bacterium. RNAcentral describes it as "partial 16S ribosomal RNA". It matches the Rfam family "Bacterial small subunit ribosomal RNA", at positions 334 to 562 of the family's 1533-position model. The record is from RNAcentral.